GUGCACCAGUCGAGAAUUUUUCUCAAUGGGGGCAACCCUGAAGGAGCGACGCCGCGUGGAGGAUGAAGGCUUUCGGGUUGUAAACUCCUGUCAUUUGGGAACAAGUUGCGAGUAUUAACCGUGCUCGUAUUGAUAGUACCAGAAGAGGAAGGGACGGCUAACUCUGUGCCAGCAGCCGCGGUAAUACAGAGGUCCCAAGCGUUGUUCGGAUUCAUUGGGCGUAAAGGGUGCGUAGGUGGCGCUGUAAGUCGGGUGUGAAAUUUCGGAGCUUAACUCCGAAACUGCAUUCGAUACUGCGGUGCUUGAGGACUGGAGAGGAGACUGGAAUUCAUGGUGUAGCAGUGAAAUGCGUAGAGAUCAUGAGGAAGACCAGUGGCGAAGGCGGGUCUCUGGACAGUUCCUGACACUGAGGCACGAAGGCCAGGGGAGCAAACGGGAUUAGAUACCCGUGUAGU
This 455-nucleotide ribosomal RNA is filed under the name uncultured organism. Its description in RNAcentral is "bacterial SSU rRNA". It matches the Rfam family "Bacterial small subunit ribosomal RNA", at positions 346 to 794 of the family's 1533-position model. The record is from RNAcentral.